UACAGAGGGUGCAAGCGUUAAUCGGAGUUACUGGGCGUAAAGCGUGCGUAGGUGGAUAUUCAAGUCGGAUGUGAAAGCCCCGGGCUCAACCUGGGAAUUGCAUUCGAUACUGGAUAUCUAGAGUAUGGUAGAGGAAAGUGGAAUUUCCGGUGUAGCGGUGAAAUGCGUAGAUAUCGGAAAGAACAUCAGUGGCGAAGGCGACUUUCUGGACCAAUACUGACACUGAGGUACGAAAGCGUGGGGAGCAAACAGGAUUAGAUACCCUCGUA
RNAcentral lists this ribosomal RNA (269 nucleotides) under uncultured prokaryote. RNAcentral's name for it is "partial 16S ribosomal RNA". It matches the Rfam family "Bacterial small subunit ribosomal RNA", at positions 524 to 792 of the family's 1533-position model. The record is from RNAcentral.